GGUCCCGUGGUAUAGUGGUUAACAUGCCUGCCUGUCACGCAGGAGAUCGCCGGUUCGACCCCGGUCGGGACCGCCA
RNAcentral lists this transfer RNA (76 nucleotides) under Bacillus cereus. Its description in RNAcentral is "tRNA-Asp". It matches the Rfam family "tRNA". Rfam says of the family: Transfer RNA (tRNA) molecules are approximately 80 nucleotides in length. Their secondary structure includes four short double-helical elements and three loops (D, anti-codon, and T loops). Lineage: Bacteria; Bacillati; Bacillota; Bacilli; Caryophanales; Bacillaceae. The record is from RNAcentral.